UUUCAUUGUAUUUGUGUGAUAAAAGUAUUUAAAUCCUGAGCUUUGCUUAUUUCUUCACAAAUACAG
RNAcentral lists this microRNA precursor (66 nucleotides) under Mus pahari (shrew mouse). Its description in RNAcentral is "microRNA 6951 (MGP_PahariEiJ_G0006990.1)". Lineage: Eukaryota; Metazoa; Chordata; Mammalia; Rodentia; Muridae. The record is from RNAcentral.